Molecule: ribosomal RNA, 414 nt
Filed under: uncultured microorganism
Description: bacterial SSU rRNA
Rfam family: Archaeal small subunit ribosomal RNA
Source: RNAcentral
GUGCAGCAGUCGCGAAAACUUCACAAUGUGCGAAAGCACGAUGAGGGAAUCCCAAGUGCUUGCACGUAAGUGUAAGCUGUUUCUCUGUCUAAAACGCAGAGAGAGUAAGGGCUGGGUAAGACGGGUGCCAGCCGCCGCGGUAAUACCUGCAGCUCGAGUGGUGACCGUUAUUAUUGGGCCUAAAACGUCCGUAGCCGGUUUAAUAAAUGCCUGGGUAAAUCGGACCGCUUAACGGUUCGAAUUCCGGGUAGACUGUUAAACUUGAGACCGGGAGAAGUUAGAGGUACUCCUGGGGUAGAGGUGAAAUUCUGUAAUCCUAGGGGGACCACCAGUGGCGAAGGCGUCUAACUAGAACGGGUCUGACGGUGAGGGACGAAGCCCUGGGGCGCAAACGGGAUUAGAUACCCCUGUAGU